Long non-coding RNA from Chenopodium quinoa (quinoa), 638 nucleotides. RefSeq lists it as uncharacterized. The record is from RefSeq and is a predicted model, not a curated record. The transcript has 3 exons. Lineage: Eukaryota; Viridiplantae; Streptophyta; Magnoliopsida; Caryophyllales; Amaranthaceae.
GUACACAUAUCAGCAGUUGAGGUCACUGGUUGUCUGGUACCCAAAUGGGAAUCGGCUGCUGCAGUGCUGCUACUGACACAGAUAUACUCUGUACAAAUUCCGACCGGCCAACAUUUGGUGGGGACCUGUUCAAUGAAAGAUGCAGCCGAAAGCAAAAGCUAGUGAGCUACAAUCCAGGUCUGAUGUCUCAGAUUGAAAAGUGUUUGAAAAGGUGUGCCUAGGCGCUGAGGCACAAGGCGUUAGGGGUCAUGGGCCUUUGUGGUCUAGGUGAAGCGAUUUUGAUGAGGUGGGCAGUUUAAGGCGCACUAAGAUUUUUUUUUUUAAUUUUAUUUUUUAUGUGUAUCUUACUUCAACGAGGUGCACCAAGGCACACAGAUUCGCACCUUGGGCGCAACCAACUCUGAAACGCCUUGGUGUGCCUUGAGACUGUUUGAGAUGAUAUAUUUUUAUUUUUACAAUAUUACACUAUUGGUUUUCUUUAUGCUACGCAUUUGGUUAUCUGUGGUUUGAAGCAAGCUCAAAUGAACAACGGUGGAGUCACAAUUAAGAAAACUUGGGACGAUGACAGUACAUUUGAAAUUGUGAUCCCCUCCAUUUUUUUCUUGCGUGCACUAAACAAUAAAUCUAUAUUUUUAAGA